GUUCAUAAUGUUCAAUAGCCUGAUGGUUGUUGGGAAGAAGCUGUUCUUGAACCUGGACGUUACAGUUUUCAGACUCGUAUACCUUCUUCCCCAUGGCAGGAGUGAAAUGACAGCGUGGCCGGGGUGGUGAGGGUCUUUGCUGCCUU
Amblyraja radiata (thorny skate) is the source of this 146-nucleotide long non-coding RNA. RefSeq lists it as uncharacterized. The transcript has 3 exons. The record is from RefSeq and is a predicted model, not a curated record. NCBI's taxonomy places the organism in Eukaryota, Metazoa, Chordata, Chondrichthyes, Rajiformes, Rajidae.